UUUCCGUAGGUGAACCUGCGGAAGGAUCAUUAUUGUAUAACCGAGGUGCGAGGGCCGUCGCUGACCCGAAAGGUCGUGCACGCCCGUGUGCCCUCACACACAUCCAUCUCACCCCUAUGUGCACCACCGCGUGGGUCCCCCUUUGGCUUGUUCGGAGGGGGGCUUACGUUUUCACACAAACUUUGUAUGCAGUGUAGAAUGUAUUUUUUGUUUUUGCGAUCACGCAAUCAAUACAACUUUCAACAACGGAUCUCUUGGCUCUC
Molecule: unclassified non-coding RNA, 263 nt
Filed under: plant metagenome
Description: partial contains small subunit ribosomal RNA, internal transcribed spacer 1, and 5.8S ribosomal RNA
Source: RNAcentral